UGUGGAUGCUUCCCCCGAAUGCAGAUUAUCUCCUGGUUGUCAUUAUCUCCUGUUGUUUUCAGUACAUCAUUGCGCUUCAAUUGUGCUCUCUCAGUAGACACCACAAGAACGAAAGUAAGUUCAGAAUUCUCAUUGCUGUUCAGUGUUGUUUCUGAGAGUCAUGAGGGGAAGAAGUUUUUUCCUCUUCGGAUUGAAGCUGAAAUCUUCACAUUAUCACUGGUCUUCAUCCACUGAGGCUGAUAGUGAAAUAGCAAGUAUUGGAAGAUUCCUGGUAAAGUUUUGCAAGUUGGCAAAAAGGCAUCAGAAGUAUCAGGAGACUGCACUGGGAAGAUCCCAAGGAGAAUACUGGAAGAAAGGUUUCCGUGAUGCAUAUUGUUUCUUCCUACACAAAGAUUUCUGAGAUUGUAUAAUCUUGGACCUCUCUUAAUAGGACAGCGGGCUUUGGUAUCUAGUCUUAUCUGGGAGUCCACCUUAUUUCUCAGGAGGUAAACAACAUUAGCCACUCCUAGUGAAGAUGACUGAAACUUCUUAUUUGGGGCCAACAUAGUUAGGGCCUGUGCUGUUACUACAGUUGUUUUGCCUCAAUAUUUGCACUUUUCGUACAUUUUGAUGCAAAAUUUAUAGCUUCUUAUCCAAUUACCAGGGUAGAAGUAAAAUGGAAUCCUGUUGUGAAAGUGAUUCAAGCAAUUAACAUGCCAAAAAAAAAAAAAAAGAUACCUCUUGCUUUCAUCAUUCACGUUGUGUGAACAGUGUCUGAGGGGUGUCUGUAUUCCAAGUACCUGCUGAGGGCUGACCCAGCCCUUUCAGGUGCUUCUGGGGACAGCCCUGCUGUUGGGUGUUUGCUGUACAAGCUGUGCUGUGUUCUUUGGGAGCUGCCAUUACUGCGGCCCUACACGUGCAUCUUCCCGUGCAGCUGUUUGCUUUCGCACUACUUGGACGUUUUUCAAGCUGCUGUUCUUAUUUGGUGGUCUGAACUUGUACAACUCAAAUAUAUGUCGCUUGCUUUUAUUUCAAA
Long non-coding RNA from Lagopus leucura (white-tailed ptarmigan), 1015 nucleotides. RefSeq lists it as uncharacterized. The record is from RefSeq and is a predicted model, not a curated record. Lineage: Eukaryota; Metazoa; Chordata; Aves; Galliformes; Phasianidae. The transcript has 3 exons.